Molecule: ribosomal RNA, 504 nt
Filed under: uncultured bacterium
Lineage: Bacteria
Description: partial 16S ribosomal RNA
Rfam family: Bacterial small subunit ribosomal RNA
Source: RNAcentral
AUUGAACGCUGGCGGCAGGCCUAACACAUGCAAGUCGAACGGUAGCACAGAGAGCUUGCUCUCGGGUGACGAGUGGCGGACGGGUGAGUAAUGUCUGGGAAACUGCCUGAUGGAGGGGGAUAACUACUGGAAACGGUAGCUAAUACCGCAUAACGUCGCAAGACCAAAGAGGGGGACCUUCGGGCCUCUUGCCAUCAGAUGUGCCCAGAUGGGAUUAGCUAGUAGGUGGGGUAACGGCUCACCUAGGCGACGAUCCCUAGGUGGUCUGAGAGGAUGACCAGCCACCCUGGAACUGAGACACGGUCCAGACUCCUAAGGGAGGCAGCAGUGGGGAAUAUUGCACAAUGGGCGCAAGCCUGAUGCAGCCAUGCCGCGUGUAUGAAGAAGGCCUUCGGGUUGUAAAGUACUUUCAGCGAGGAGGAAGGCGAUACGGUUAAUAACCGUGUCGAUUGACGUUACUCGCAGAAGAAGCACCGGCUAACUCCGUGCCAGCAGCCGCCGUAA